This 468-nucleotide ribosomal RNA is filed under the name Enterococcus faecalis. Its description in RNAcentral is "bacterial SSU rRNA". It matches the Rfam family "Bacterial small subunit ribosomal RNA", at positions 1 to 446 of the family's 1533-position model. Lineage: Bacteria; Bacillati; Bacillota; Bacilli; Lactobacillales; Enterococcaceae. The record is from RNAcentral.
UUAUUAUGAGAGUUUGAUCCUGGCUCAGGACGAACGCUGGCGGCGUGCCUAAUACAUGCAAGUCGAACGCUUCUUUCCUCCCGAGUGCUUGCACUCAAUUGGAAAGAGGAGUGGCGGACGGGUGAGUAACACGUGGGUAACCUACCCAUCAGAGGGGGAUAACACUUGGAAACAGGUGCUAAUACCGCAUAACAGUUUAUGCCGCAUGGCAUAAGAGUGAAAGGCGCUUUCGGGUGUCGCUGAUGGAUGGACCCGCGGUGCAUUAGCUAGUUGGUGAGGUAACGGCUCACCAAGGCCACGAUGCAUAGCCGACCUGAGAGGGUGAUCGGCCACACUGGGACUGAGACACGGCCCAGACUCCUACGGGAGGCAGCAGUAGGGAAUCUUCGGCAAUGGACGAAAGUCUGACCGAGCAACGCCGCGUGAGUGAAGAAGGUUUUCGGAUCGUAAAACUCUGUUGUUAGAGAA